Long non-coding RNA from Triplophysa rosa, 1625 nucleotides. RefSeq lists it as uncharacterized. The record is from RefSeq and is a predicted model, not a curated record. The transcript has 4 exons. NCBI's taxonomy places the organism in Eukaryota, Metazoa, Chordata, Actinopteri, Cypriniformes, Nemacheilidae.
UACAGAGAACAGCGUCGCUUCGCUGUACGGAGCACAUUUUAGUGAACGGAUUUUCUCCAAAGCUUACGGCGCAACCUUUACACCAAGGAUCGUCGACCACGGAAGACUUUUUUUGAUGUUGAAAGUGUUUUGGAGGAGAUAAUGAGGAGCAGCGACGAAGAGCAGCAGAAAGAAGCAGAGACAUUACAUCAGAGAGAGAAAGCUCGGUGUCGAGCGUCGAUUCCCUAGAAGACGACAUGUUUGUUGAUGGACUUGAUCCCGUGUUAGAUCGGUAUUUCAAUUGACACAUAUGAGGACUGGUGUCCGGAGUCUAGUCCUGAGCACCGGAAGAGAUCACGGCAGCCAUCGUCAUCAUCUGCAUCUCAGCUAAAGAACAAACUAUGAAGGGGAAAUCAGUUUCCUGCAAUAACCCGAUCUGUACGGCGCCGUCACGUUUGUAGCUGCGCUUACAGUUCUGGCACCAUUGUCUCACUAAUAUGAGUUUGCAAGCGAGGGGAGAGGCGGGGCUACCUUCUUGUGACCAAUCGAAUGAGGUUCCUGAUGACUCAUCGUUUUCUCUUGUCUGAUUGGUUCAAUAACGCGCCAGGCAGGCAGAAGUCAGCCGGCUCUGUAUCGUCCUCAAGGCUGCAGGAAUGGAUUUGUUGAUAGAUGCUGUAUUGGAUAGGCUCCACUCAAGGCUGUCCCACCUUCUUAAUCGGCCACCAAUUGAUUUGGACUUUUUGGAGUUUACGUGUUCCCAGGAGUGUUUUUUUUUUAAGUGCACUUUCAAGCCAGGAAUCUUUUCCACGUGCUGUAAUGGAGAGACUCAGAGAGGUUUUUCAGAUUAUUGCUGAGAUCAACCAAAAUCAAGAGUGUACACACACUGUGGUUUUUGAAUCUGGCAAGCUUGGGCGGGUGCGUGCGCGCGUGUGCGUGGAGCAUUUUAAAGUGUCAGAGAAAGACACACUACGGGACAUGCCGCACGGAAGUACAUUUCCGAAUGAAAGCGCCUUUACCGGUCGGUAACUUUACUUCAGACGGAAGCGGGCUGUCUGACAGUAGCCCCGCCGCUCGCAACAUCCUUUGACAUCAUACAGUGGUCGCGUGCACACAGUUCCCUGUACUAAACAACUUGUCAAAGUAUGUUCUGUGCAUCCCGGCUACGAGUGCACCUUCUGAGAGAACAGUCAGCUUUUGUGGGCGGAGUUUGGAGGAGAGACGUGAACUGAAAUGGUUGUCAGUCAGCAUCAGUCAGAAUUGCUUGCAUUGGAUGUUUUUUUUUCUCAAAUCAUUUUGCAAUGUAGCCUAUAAUAAUCCAACAGUUUUAGUUUAUUUGUAUUUUUAUUUUAUAGGCCUAAUGUGGAAUGACAGUUUUUAAUGAAGUGUUUUGUUGUAGGUGUACAGAGUAACUUACAUUACAUUCUUUUAGCAGUCAGUUAUAGGCCUAAUUAAUAUAGGCUAUUCAUGAAGGGAGAGGGCUCAAUUUUUUGUUUGAAUUUACUUUGUUUUGCUCAAUUUUAUAUAAAGUUGUAUUGUAUUUUAUUGAAAAGCUAGACAAAUUAUAAAAAGCACAUUUUGACUAUUCAGUUUGUGCAAUAGUGAAAAAAAUAGCUUAAUAAAUAGAACAAAUGCAAAAAACCAUGUUC